CCUUUGUGCCGAGCAGGUUGAUGUUAAAAGCAAUGAGGAACUUCCUCGCCCCCGUGGCCGUGGCCCCCCAACUGGGGACAAAGGAGCUGGGACCAAAGUCGGGCGCCCAGUCGGCCUGCUGGAGCUGUGAGCAAGUUCGCUCUGGGAACCGCAAGCAACCACAUAAAUAUAACGGCAGAGAAGAGGAAAAACUCGUGAACCCGCACACCAGUGUGACUGUGACGUGGGCCCUGCGUCGGGAUUUCCUUCGGGGGGACUGGCAUGACCGUGACGGGGGUUACGUGUGCCCUGCAUGCCGGCGUGACCGUGACGGGGGUUACGUGUGCCCUGCACGCUGGCGUGACUGUGACCUACGUCCCUGCCUCGGGAUUUCUUUCCAGGAGCGCUGGGUUGGUGCAGCCUAGGGGUGGGUAUGCACUUUGUCCCGUUUGUCUCUGUUUGUUUCAUAUCAUUUUCUUGAUUUAGUUAAUUUCCCAAAGUGAAAUUAUUCUGCUCUAGAA
Long non-coding RNA from Homo sapiens (human), 500 nucleotides. Ensembl annotates it as FTCD antisense RNA 1. Its record names the gene FTCD-AS1. The record is from Ensembl. NCBI's taxonomy places the organism in Eukaryota, Metazoa, Chordata, Mammalia, Primates, Hominidae.